GGGUUGUGAGGUUAAGCGACUAAGCGUACACGGUGGAUGCCCUGGCAGUCAGAGGCGAUGAAGGACGUGCUAAUCUGCGAUAAGCGUCGGUAAGGUGAUAUGAACCGUUAUAACCGGCGAUUUCCGAAUGGGGAAACCCAGUGUGUUUCGACACACUAUCAUUAACUGAAUCCAUAGGUUAAUGAGGCGAACCGGGGGAACUGAAACAUCUAAGUACCCCGAGGAAAAGAAAUCAACCGAGAUUCCCCCAGUAGCGGCGAGCGAACGGGGAGGAGCCCAGAGCCUGAAUCAGUGUGUGUGUUAGUGGAAGCGUCUGGAAAGGCGCGCGAUACAGGGUGACAGCCCCGUACACAAAAAUGCACAUACUGUGAGCUCGAUGAGUAGGGCGGGACACGUGGUAUCCUGUCUGAAUAUGGGGGGACCAUCCUCCAAGGCUAAAUACUCCUGACUGACCGAUAGUGAACCAGUACCGUGAGGGAAAGGCGAAAAGAACCCCGGCGAGGGGAGUGAAAAAGAACCUGAAACCGUGUACGUACAAGCAGUGGGAGCCUCUUUUAUGGGGUGACUGCGUACCUUUUGUAUAAUGGGUCAGCGACUUAUAUUCUGUAGCAAGGUUAACCGAAUAGGGGAGCCGAAGGGAAACCGAGUCUUAACUGGGCGUUAAGUUGCAGGGUAUAGACCCGAAACCCGGUGAUCUAGCCAUGGGCAGGUUGAAGGUUGGGUAACACUAACUGGAGGACCGAACCGACUAAUGUUGAAAAAUUAGCGGAUGACUUGUGGCUGGGGGUGAAAGGCCAAUCAAACCGGGAGAUAGCUGGUUCUCCCCGAAAGCUAUUUAGGUAGCGCCUCGUGAAUUCAUCUCCGGGGGUAGAGCACUGUUUCGGCAAGGGGGUCAUCCCGACUUACCAACCCGAUGCAAACUGCGAAUACCGGAGAAUGUUAUCACGGGAGACACACGGCGGGUGCUAACGUCCGUCGUGAAGAGGGAAACAACCCAGACCGCCAGCUAAGGUCCCAAAGUCAUGGUUAAGUGGGAAACGAUGUGGGAAGGCCCAGACAGCCAGGAUGUUGGCUUAGAAGCAGCCAUCAUUUAAAGAAAGCGUAAUAGCUCACUGGUCGAGUCGGCCUGCGCGGAAGAUGUAACGGGGCUAAACCAUGCACCGAAGCUGCGGCAGCGACGCUUAUGCGUUGUUGGGUAGGGGAGCGUUCUGUAAGCCUGUGAAGGUGUGCUGUGAGGCAUGCUGGAGGUAUCAGAAGUGCGAAUGCUGACAUAAGUAACGAUAAAGCGGGUGAAAAGCCCGCUCGCCGGAAGACCAAGGGUUCCUGUCCAACGUUAAUCGGGGCAGGGUGAGUCGACCCCUAAGGCGAGGCCGAAAGGCGUAGUCGAUGGGAAACAGGUUAAUAUUCCUGUACUUGGUGUUACUGCGAAGGGGGGACGGAGAAGGCUAUGUUGGCCGGGCGACGGUUGUCCCGGUUUAAGCGUGUAGGCUGGUUUUCCAGGCAAAUCCGGAAAAUCAAGGCUGAGGCGUGAUGACGAGGCACUACGGUGCUGAAGCAACAAAUGCCCUGCUUCCAGGAAAAGCCUCUAAGCAUCAGGUAACAUCAAAUCGUACCCCAAACCGACACAGGUGGUCAGGUAGAGAAUACCAAGGCGCUUGAGAGAACUCGGGUGAAGGAACUAGGCAAAAUGGUGCCGUAACUUCGGGAGAAGGCACGCUGAUAUGUAGGUGAAGCGACUUGCUCGUGGAGCUGAAAUCAGUCGAAGAUACCAGCUGGCUGCAACUGUUUAUUAAAAACACAGCACUGUGCAAACACGAAAGUGGACGUAUACGGUGUGACGCCUGCCCGGUGCCGGAAGGUUAAUUGAUGGGGUUAGCGGUAACGCGAAGCUCUUGAUCGAAGCCCCGGUAAACGGCGGCCGUAACUAUAACGGUCCUAAGGUAGCGAAAUUCCUUGUCGGGUAAGUUCCGACCUGCACGAAUGGCGUAAUGAUGGCCAGGCUGUCUCCACCCGAGACUCAGUGAAAUUGAACUCGCUGUGAAGAUGCAGUGUACCCGCGGCAAGACGGAAAGACCCCGUGAACCUUUACUAUAGCUUGACACUGAACAUUGAGCCUUGAUGUGUAGGAUAGGUGGGAGGCUUUGAAGUGUGGACGCCAGUCUGCAUGGAGCCGGCCUUGAAAUACCACCCUUUAAUGUUUGAUGUUCUAACGUUGGCCCCUGAUCGGGGUUGCGGACAGUGUCUGGUGGGUAGUUUGACUGGGGCGGUCUCCUCCUAAAGAGUAACGGAGGAGCACGAAGGUUGGCUAAUCCUGGUCGGACAUCAGGAGGUUAGUGCAAUGGCAUAAGCCAGCUUGACUGCGAGCGUGACGGCGCGAGCAGGUGCGAAAGCAGGUCAUAGUGAUCCGGUGGUUCUGAAUGGAAGGGCCAUCGCUCAACGGAUAAAAGGUACUCCGGGGAUAACAGGCUGAUACCGCCCAAGAGUUCAUAUCGACGGCGGUGUUUGGCACCUCGAUGUCGGCUCAUCACAUCCUGGGGCUGAAGUAGGUCCCAAGGGUAUGGCUGUUCGCCAUUUAAAGUGGUACGCGAGCUGGGUUUAGAACGUCGUGAGACAGUUCGGUCCCUAUCUGCCGUGGGCGCUGGAGAACUGAGGGGGGCUGCUCCUAGUACGAGAGGACCGGAGUGGACGCAUCACUGGUGUUCGGGUUGUCAUGCCAAUGGCACUGCCCGGUAGCUAAAUGCGGAAGAGAUAAGUGCUGAAAGCAUCUAAGCACGAAACUUGCCCCGAGAUGAGUUCUCCCUGAGACUU
RNAcentral lists this ribosomal RNA (2808 nucleotides) under Escherichia coli N40513. RNAcentral's name for it is "bacterial LSU rRNA". It matches the Rfam family "Bacterial large subunit ribosomal RNA". The record is from RNAcentral. Lineage: Bacteria; Pseudomonadati; Pseudomonadota; Gammaproteobacteria; Enterobacterales; Enterobacteriaceae.